UGGCUCAGAGGUUAAAGCAUCUGCCUGCAAUGCAGGAGACCUAGGUCCGAUCCCUGG
RNAcentral lists this transfer RNA (57 nucleotides) under Bos taurus (domestic cattle). It matches the Rfam family "tRNA", at positions 8 to 63 of the family's 71-position model. From Rfam's summary of the family: Transfer RNA (tRNA) molecules are approximately 80 nucleotides in length. Their secondary structure includes four short double-helical elements and three loops (D, anti-codon, and T loops). RNAcentral also lists the same sequence under 5 other names. The record is from Rfam by way of RNAcentral. Lineage: Eukaryota; Metazoa; Chordata; Mammalia; Artiodactyla; Bovidae.